GACGAACGCUGGCGGCGUGCUUAACACAUGCAAGUCGAACGGAAAGGCCCUGCUUUUGUGGGGUGCUCGAGUGGCGAACGGGUGAGUAACACGUGAGUAACCUGCCCUUGACUUUGGGAUAACUUCAGGAAACUGGGGCUAAUACCGGAUAGGAGCUCCUGCUGCAUGGUGGGGGUUGGAAAGUUUCGGCGGUUGGGGAUGGACUCGCGGCGUAUCAGCUUGUUGGUGGGGUAGUGGCUUACCAAGGCUUUGACGGGUAGCCGGCCUGAGAGGGUGACCGGCCACAUUGGGACUGAGAUACGGCCCAGACUCCUACGGGAGGCAGCAGUGGGGAAUAUUGCACAAUGGGCGGAAGCCUGAUGCAGCAACGCCGCGUGCGGGAUGACGGCCUUCGGGUUGUAAACCGCUUUCGCCUGUGACGAAGCGUGAGUGACGGUAAUGGGUAAAGAAGCACCGGCUAACUACGUGCCAGCAGCCGCGGUGAUACGUGGGGUGCGAGCGUUGUCCGGAUUUAUUGGGCGUAAAGGGCUCGUAGGUGGUUGAUCGCGUCGGAAGUGUAAUCUUGGGGCUUAACCCUGAGCGUGCUUUCGAUACGGGUUGACUUGAGGAAGGUAGGGGAGAAUGGAAUUCCUGGUGGAGCGGUGGAAUGCGCAGAUAUCAGGAGGAACACCAGUGGCGAAGGCGGUUCUCUGGGCCUUUCCUGACGCUGAGGAGCGAAAGCGUGGGGAGCGAACAGGCUUAGAUACCCUGGUAGUCCACGCUGUAAACGGUGGGUACUAGGUGUGGGGUCCAUUCCACGGGUUCCGUGCCGUAGCUAACGCUUUAAGUACCCCGCCUGGGGAGUACGGCCGCAAGGCUAAAACUCAAAGGAAUUGACGGGGCCCCGCACAAGCGGCGGAGCAUGCGGAUUAAUUCGAUGCAACGCGUAGAACCUUACCUGGGUUUGACAUGGAUCGGGAGUGCUCAGAGAUGGGUGUGCCUCUUUUGGGGUCGGUUCACAGGUGGUGCAUGGCUGUCGUCAGCUCGUGUCGUGAGAUGUUGGGUUAAGUCCCGCAACGAGCGCAACCCUUGUUCACUGUUGCCAGCACGUUAUGGUGGGGACUCAGUGGAGACCGCCGGGGUCAACUCGGAGGAAGGUGGGGAUGACGUCAAGUCAUCAUGCCCCUUAUGUCCAGGGCUUCACGCAUGCUACAAUGGCUGGUACAGAGAGUGGCGAGCCUGUGAGGGUGAGCGAAUCUCGGAAAGCCGGUCUCAGUUCGGAUUGGGGUCUGCAACUCGACCUCAUGAAGUCGGAGUCGCUAGUAAUCGCAGAUCAGCAACGCUGCGGUGAAUACGUUCCCGGGGCU
This 1346-nucleotide ribosomal RNA is filed under the name uncultured bacterium. RNAcentral's name for it is "partial 16S ribosomal RNA". It matches the Rfam family "Bacterial small subunit ribosomal RNA", at positions 28 to 1381 of the family's 1533-position model. The record is from RNAcentral.